RNAcentral lists this long non-coding RNA (529 nucleotides) under Zonotrichia albicollis (white-throated sparrow). Its description in RNAcentral is "lncRNA (ENSZALG00000004898.1)". Lineage: Eukaryota; Metazoa; Chordata; Aves; Passeriformes; Passerellidae. The record is from RNAcentral.
CCCUCUGAAUCCUGAGUUUAAAAGGCUUGUCAUGUGAACUGUGUGGGCAGUGUUCCCUCCUCUGUUCUCCAUGUCCUUUGGGAGUGGAGAAGGACAAUUAUUGUAUCCCUGAUAUGAUUCCACCAAAAUAGUGAGUGAUCUUUGGGUUCCUUUCUUUCUGUUUUUCUGCUCAGGGCAAUGUUGGUGUUGCCCCUGAUUCUUCAGGAGGGGAGCCUGUGGACAGAGCUGCAGCAGAGGAAGCUUCAUCUGGCACCAAGAGCUGCAGGAACAGUUCCCAGGAGCCUGAGGAGCCUGAUGCCAUCUGACCAACAUCUCCAGGAGGGUUGCCCUGCAUGGCAGGAAGAGACAGGGGAGAGCCUGUGACCAUCAGGCAGUGCCCCCUGUGUCCCCUGUCCCUGUGCUGGGUCCGAGCUGGCGGCCGGGCCGGGCGGAGCAGCACUUCCAGCCCCGGCUGUCCCUGGANAUUACAGAUUUUGGGGCAGGAUGUUGAAGCACUACAAGAUAGCCUUGUAGACAUAAACAUGAAGGU